Molecule: ribosomal RNA, 265 nt
Filed under: uncultured bacterium
Lineage: Bacteria
Description: partial 16S ribosomal RNA
Rfam family: Bacterial small subunit ribosomal RNA
Source: RNAcentral
GUCCACGCCCUAAACGAUGUCGACUGGUUGUUGGGGGUUUGACACUCUCAGUAACGAAGCUAACGCGUGAAGUCGACCGCCUGGGGAGUACGGCCGCAAGGUUAAAACUCAAAGGAAUUGACGGGGACCCGCACAAGCGGUGGAUUAUGUGGAUUAAUUCGAUGCAACGCGAAAAACCUUACCUACCCUUGACAUGUCCUGAAUCCUAGAGAGAUCUGGGAGUGCCCGAAAGGGAACGGGAACACAGGUGCUGCAUGGCUGUCGU